Molecule: unclassified non-coding RNA, 726 nt
Filed under: Hevea brasiliensis (rubber tree)
Lineage: Eukaryota; Viridiplantae; Streptophyta; Magnoliopsida; Malpighiales; Euphorbiaceae
Source: RNAcentral
AGAAAAACGUCAUAAGCAUAAUAACAAGGCAUACAUUUUCAUUCCGAGAACGAAAUAUCUUCUCUUUCAUGUCAUCAUCAAUCAAAGUUUUAAUCGAAAACUCAGAAUCCUUACGAUAAACAGAUCCAUGCCUUGCCCCCGAAAAGGUAUAUGCAAAGCACAAAUCGAAGCACAACUACUGUUCAGGAGAGACCACAACUUAUCAUAACGCGACUUGAAGUAUACAGCUGCAGAACUAUCAGAUAAAAACAGUUGAGACUAUCCACCCUAAACCAGCUUUUCCAUACUUGCAAAGGAAGAAAUAGAAGAAGCCAAACAUUUCCCCACCAUUUACAUUACCAAACUUACUUAUUGUGGCAUUUCAAGAUCAGGCCUUUGAUCAAGUGCCUGAAUAGUUGUAUUGUCUGGAAGAGCAUCUGGGUACGUUGAUAUGAUUUUUGCCUUCAUGUUCCUCAACUUCAGAAAUAUGUAAUCAAGGUCUGACUUCAUAGAUUUUAAGAGACGUGUAUUUCUAGAGAAAUCUGCCGAGACCUCUGCGUAACAAUGUUCUGAGUACUCAUUGAAGUGAGAAAGGACUGCAUUGCUGUCCUGCAACCGUCCCAAUAUGAGGUUUUGCAAUUGCUUCAAAGAAUCCAAAUCCUUAGCGUUGAUUAGGGUUUUGAAUUCACUGGAAAUCUCUUCGGAUGCAGAUUUGAUGGAUUCUUUCUCUGUUUCCUCCAUUUUUUU